RNAcentral lists this small nuclear RNA (107 nucleotides) under Octodon degus (degu). Lineage: Eukaryota; Metazoa; Chordata; Mammalia; Rodentia; Octodontidae. The record is from RNAcentral.
GUGCUCGCUUCAGCAGCACAUAUACUAAAACUGGAACGAUACAGAGAAGAUUAGCAUGGCUCCUGCACAAGGAUGACACGCAAAUUCGUGAAGCGUUCCAUAUUUUU